This 4358-nucleotide long non-coding RNA is filed under the name Zostera marina. RNAcentral's name for it is "long non-coding RNA (ZMAR_LNC003769)". The record is from RNAcentral. Lineage: Eukaryota; Viridiplantae; Streptophyta; Magnoliopsida; Alismatales; Zosteraceae.
UUUGAUAUAUUUUAAGACUCUGUAUGCUGCUUUCAUUUGUGAUUCAGUUGGUGUUGCCAUGUGUUGGCUUAGAUAUGUUACAGCAUAGGAGAUGUCUGGUCUUGUGCAUGUUAGGUAUACUAGUUUUCCUACUAUGCUUCUAUAUUUUUGUGGAUCCUCUAGUAUGGUUUCAUUGUCUUUUAUUUUGUUUGAUUGCAUUGGAGUUUUAUUAAAAAAAUCAUUGUUAUUAGGGCAAUCUGUAAUUCUGUUUGUUUUAUGUUUGGAUAUUUGUUUGUGACUGUUUGGAGUUCUAUUUGGUUUACAUUAUGUGAGUUCAUAUUUUUCCAGUAAAUCUAAUGUGUAUUUUCUCUGACCAAUGUAUAAACCAUUUGGUGUUUUGGUGAACUCGAGUCCUAGAAAAUAUUUAAGUUCUCCAAGGUCUUUAAUUUUAAAGAUUCCUUGGAGAUUUUCUUUUAGAGUUUUAAUUGUGUUUAUGUUGUUGCCUGUGAUAAGUAGGUCAUCAACAUAUGCUAAGACAAUUGUAGUAUCUUGUUUGUUUUUGUUUAUAAACAGAGAGUAGUCUGUUUUGCAUUGCUUGUAUCCAAGGUUGGAUAAGGCAUUUGAUAGAGUUUGGUACCAAACUCUUGAUGCUUGCUUUAGGCCAUAUAGUGAUUUGUUUAGUUUGCAGAUGGGGUUAUGUGGUGCAUUUUUGGGUAAUUCUAAUCCCAAUGGGAUUUUCAUGUAUAUGGUUUCUUCUAAGUUUCCGUGUAGAAAGGCAUUUUGGACAUCCAUUUGGUGCAUGUCCCAUUUUUGUGCUACUGCUAUAGCUAUGACAGUCCUUAAGGUUGUCAUUUUGGAUACAGGAGCAAAUGUUUCAUUGAAGUCAAUGCCUUCAAUUUGGUUGUAGCCUUUUGCUACUAGUCUAGCUUUAUAUUUUUCAAUGUUUCCAUCACUGUUAAAUUUGGUUUUGUAGACCCAUUUGCAUCCAAUGGGGUUUUUAUCAUUUGGCAUGCUUGUGAUGGUCCAUCUUUGGUUAUGUUCAAGAGCCUGUAGUUCUUGCUUCAUGGCAUUGUUCCAUUUUGUGUGUUUGGAUGCUUCAUUGUAGGAAGUGGGAUCUAAGUUCUUUAUUGUUGUUAAGAAUGCAGAGUGUUCAGGGGUAAAGUUUUGAGAAGAAAGCAUGUUCUCAAUGGGAUGUCUAGUGGAUGCUGCUUGUAGAGAGAAAUCUUUUAAGUAUGAUGGUGUUUUCCUAUUUCUUUUUGGUCUUGGUGCAUCCUCUUCUGGGAUGCUUGGUGCAUUCUCUGUUUCAUGUUGUAUCUUUGGGAUCAUUGGUGCAUCUUCUUCUUGUGAAGGGGGUGUGAGUGUGUAUGUGUUUUCCUUUGAUUUGUUGUCUGUUUCUGAUGUAUCAAAAAUGUUCUCUUGAUACUGUUCUGUUUGUUCUUUGAAGGGGAAUAUGUCUUCAAAGAAAAUUACAUCUCUAUUUGUAAAAAUUUCUUGAGUGGAUAUAUCUAGUAUGUUAUAUCAUUUCCUUUGAGGAGAAUAUCCAAUGAAUAUUCCCUUUAUUGAUCUGUUUUCAAAUUUUGAUUUUAUUGUUUGUGGCAUAGCAUAAACACCCAAACACUUUUAGGAUGUCUAAAUUUGGUUGUUCUCCAAAUAGCCUAAAAAAUGGGGUUUCAUUAUCUAAUACUACAGCUGGGGUCCUGUUUAUCAGGAAGACAUCUGUUGUGAUGCAUUCCCCCCAAUACUUUAGGGGAAUGUUGGAUUGAAUCAUUAGUGACCUAGCCACUUGUAGUAUGUGUUGAUGUUUCCUUUCGACUCUCCUAUUUUGUUGUGGGGUAUAUGGGCAUGACAGUUGGUGAGCUAUACCAUCUGUUUUAAUUAUGUUUUGAAAUUCUUUGGAUAAGAAUUCUGUACCAUUGUCUGACCUUAUGGUAUGGACAGUGCUUUGGUGUUGGUUUUUGAUAUCUGUCAGGAAUUGUUUGAAUUUGGUGGAUGUUUAUGAUUUAUUUAUCAUUAGGAAGACCCAAGUUGCUCUAGAGUAAUCAUCCACUAUGGUUAGGAAAUAGUUAUUUCCUUGAUGCGUAGGUGUGUGGAAUUUUUCCCAUAUGUCCAAAUGUAAUAAUUGAAAACACCUUGUCGUUUUAUUUGAACUUAGAGAAAAAGGGAGCUUUGUCUGUUUGGACAGUGGGCAUGUAUUACAAAAUUUUUUAAAAUUCUUUGGAAUACAUUUGUUUAUGAUAUUGAAAUGAUAAAAUCUAGAUGGUACUGGGUGUCCUAGUCUCUGGUGCCAUAUCUCUUCAUCCUUUGUUUCCUUCUGUUAGCUAUGAUUGGCCUGAUUGUCAUGCUUUAGGAUGUAGAGUCCAUUUUUCUUCUCACCCUCACCAAUCCGGUUUCCCUGUUGGUUCUGUAUAGAACAGAAAGUAGGGUGGAAGGUGAAUGAGCAUUUUAUAUCUUUUGUUAAUUGGCUUACAGAGAGUAGGUUGACUGAGAAGGAUGGGAUUUUUAAGACAUUGUUUAAGGUAAUGUCUUUUGUAAUUUGUGUGGAGCCACUAACUGAAACUUUAGUGGUUUGUGAGUUUAGGAGACGAAUAUUUAUGGGGUAUAGUAAAUUCUUUUCAUUGUUUAAGCUGGUGUUGGGGGCACACAUGUGGUCUGUUGCCCCUGUGUCAAUGAUCCACUGAUCAUUUUGUGAUUGGGUGCAUGCUGUGGUGUUUAGUGAGUAAUGUGGAUUAAAGCAUGUGUUGUUUUUAUAGUAAAACAUACCAGAUGUGCUCCCAGACAUGUGAGCUUGUGGCUGAUUUCCCUUUUGGAUUCCUCCCUGGGAGAGUAUGGAGAUCAGCUCUUCUCUGGUGAUGAAAUUUCCUGUAGUCUGUGGAUUCUCAGAAGUUUGGGCUUCAUCUUCUGUGUUGGCAUUGUUGCUUUGGUACUUUUUGUACCCUUUGUUGGGUUUGUAGCUUUUCUUGCUGUUGUACCUUGUGGAAUUUUCUUUUCUUUUGUUAAAAUCCACCCCAUGGAGUCCAUGGCCUGGUGGGAAACCAUGUUCAUAGAAACAGUUUUCUAUGCUGUGAUUGUGUUUCUUGCAUCUUGUGCAGUAUGGUUUAGAGUCUUCACUUUGAUUUUGUGGUUUUGGUGUGAAGUUGUUCUUAGAUUGUGUAGCCAAGGCAGUUCCUUCUUCAGGAUAGACACAUUCUCUUUGUGUCUCUUCUUGAAGUACCAUUCUGAAGGCAUCAUCCACAGAUGGAGGAGUCUUCUUUUUGAGUAUUUGGCCUCUUAUUGAUAGAAAAGUAUCAUUUAGGCCGGUUGUGAAGGUGAUCAACCUGUCCAUAUUCUCCUUCUUAAUGCAGUUAGGGUUGUCACAACAUUCAAAGAUCUGAUUGUUGUCCAAUUCAUUCCACAGGCCUUGCAACUUUGCAUAGUAGUUGCUGACAGAUUCACUUCCUUGAGUGCACAAUGCAAUCUGCCUUUUUAGUUGUGAAAUGACCAGUGAAUUUGCCCUGCUAUAUUUCUGUUUGAGGUUCUCCCAGAGGGUGGUGGCAUCCUUUAUGAAGAUUACACUUCCUCUGAUUUCCUUUGAACAGCUGUUGAGUAUCCAUGCAGUGACCAGGUCAUUACAUCUGGUCCAAGGGGUGUAGUAGCUGUCUGUGUUGUUGGUUGGUUUGGUGAUGGAUCCAUUUAUGAAUCCCAUCUUAUUUUUGGUAGACAGUGAUCUUUGGAUCUCUACCACCCAUGUCUGAUAAUUUGGUCCACUAAGUGGAGUUGUAACCAGGCCUAAGCUUGGGUUGUCACUUCCUGAUAUGUAGUAUGGGCUUCCAUCCUUUAUCUUUAGCUCAUCAAUUUUUGUUUCCAUUUGCAGAUAGAAAUGAAAGGAGAGCAAAAAGACUGAUGAGAAGGCACACCAGGAAUCUCAGGAGAAUGAGAGAGCUGAGAAGACAAAAUAUGGAUGUGGAGGCUCUUGAGUAUUUUGGCGAUGUGGAAGAUGUGUACUCUUCCUCUGAUUCUGAGUAUGAGAGGCCUGUUCCUGUGUAGGAUCUUGAUUUUCCCUCAGACAGUGAUGGUGAGGAUGGUGUGGUGUGUCAACAGUAUUAUUAUGAUUUCGAUAGUGAUGACUCUAUGCCUGAUUAUGAGAUAUGGAGUGAUCCAGAUGUGGGUCUGAAUUCUGAGGGAGAGAAGGCCAAUGGUGUUUUGGCUGUGGAGAUUCCACUACCUCCUCGUCCUCCUCAAGAAUUCUUUGACAAUAUCUGGAGGAAUAGAGUUGUUUUUGAUGACUGAGACUUGGUUAACUGUCCCCUUUUUUGUUUAAAGCAGCUUGCUCUUUUUGGUGUGGUGACUGUUUCUUUUCUCUUUAUAGUUUCCUUUUUGUAGAGAAAGAAAAAAAAUACUAG